This 244-nucleotide ribosomal RNA is filed under the name Klebsiella pneumoniae. RNAcentral describes it as "partial 16S ribosomal RNA". It matches the Rfam family "Bacterial small subunit ribosomal RNA", at positions 1288 to 1532 of the family's 1533-position model. RNAcentral also lists the same sequence under 1 other name. Lineage: Bacteria; Pseudomonadati; Pseudomonadota; Gammaproteobacteria; Enterobacterales; Enterobacteriaceae. The record is from RNAcentral.
UAGUCCGGAUUGGAGUCUGCAACUCGACUCCAUGAAGUCGGAAUCGCUAGUAAUCGUAGAUCAGAAUGCUACGGUGAAUACGUUCCCGGGCCUUGUACACACCGCCCGUCACACCAUGGGAGUGGGUUGCAAAAGAAGUAGGUAGCUUAACCUUCGGGAGGGCGCUUACCACUUUGUGAUUCAUGACUGGGGUGAAGUCGUAACAAGGUAACCGUAGGGGAACCUGCGGUUGGAUCACCUCCUU